RNAcentral lists this ribosomal RNA (22 nucleotides) under Talaromyces aculeatus. RNAcentral's name for it is "partial 28S ribosomal RNA". The record is from RNAcentral. Lineage: Eukaryota; Fungi; Ascomycota; Eurotiomycetes; Eurotiales; Trichocomaceae.
GUGACCUCGGAUCAGGUAGAGU